CGCGUAGGCGGCUGCGCAAGUCGGAUGUGAAAUCCCUCGGCUCAACUGAGGAACUGCAUCCGAAACUGCGUAGCUCGAGUCCCGGAGAGGGUAGCGGAAUUCCCAGUGUAGCGGUGAAAUGCGUAGAUAUUGGGAGGAACACCAGUGGCGAAGGCGGCUACCUGGACGGGUACUGACGCUGAGGCGCGAAAGCUAGGGGAGCAAACA
This 207-nucleotide ribosomal RNA is filed under the name uncultured bacterium. RNAcentral's name for it is "partial 16S ribosomal RNA". It matches the Rfam family "Bacterial small subunit ribosomal RNA", at positions 568 to 774 of the family's 1533-position model. The record is from RNAcentral.